AGUGUAGGCGGGGCUUCAAGUCCGUUGUGAAACCGAUCGGCUCAACUGAUCGUUGCGGCGGAAACUGGAGUUCUUGAGUGAGGUAGAGGCAGGCGGAAUUCCCAGUGUAGCGGUGAAAUGCGUAGAUAUUGGGAGGAACACCAGUGGCGAAGGCGGCCUGCUGGGCCUUAACUGACGCUGAGGCUCGAAAGUGUGGGGAGCAAACA
This 206-nucleotide ribosomal RNA is filed under the name uncultured bacterium. RNAcentral's name for it is "partial 16S ribosomal RNA". It matches the Rfam family "Bacterial small subunit ribosomal RNA", at positions 568 to 774 of the family's 1533-position model. The record is from RNAcentral.